This 473-nucleotide ribosomal RNA is filed under the name uncultured bacterium. Its description in RNAcentral is "SSU rRNA". It matches the Rfam family "Bacterial small subunit ribosomal RNA", at positions 26 to 518 of the family's 1533-position model. The record is from RNAcentral.
AGAAUCAACGCUGGCGGCGUGCUUAACACAUGCAAGUCGAGCGGAAAGGCCCUUCGGGGUACUCGAGCGGCGAACGGGUGAGUAACACGUGAGCAACCUGCCCUCAGCUCUGGGAUAGCUCCCGGAAACGGGAAUUAAUACCGGAUACGACCCCGACCGACAUCGGUCAGGGUGGAAAGUUUUUCGGCUGAGGAUGGACUCGCGGCCUAUCAGCUAGUUGGUGGGGUAACGGCCCACCAAGGCGACGACGGGUAGCCGGCCUGAGAGGGCGACCGGCCACACUGGGACUGAGACACGGCCCAGACUCCUGCGGGAGGCAGCAGUGGGGAAUAUUGCGCAAUGGGCGAAAGCCUGACGCAGCGACGCCGCGUGGGGGAUGAAGGCCUUCGGGUUGUAAACCCUUUCAGCAGGGACGAAGCGAGAGUGACGGUACCUGCAGAAGAAGCGCCGGCUAACUACGUGCCAGCAGCCGC